CAGAAGAAGCACCAUGGUCCUAUUCAGAUGGAUUGAAGUGUUUUUAUUCUCUCUACUAAUACUUCAGUGUAAAGGCAACAAUGUAACAACAACACAGACAGUAACACACACAUCAAAAAAUACAAGUAUUAUUGAACCUACAUCAGUAAAUGGAACAGUAAGGACUUCAUCAGGUGACCACACAACAACACCAAUCCCCACAACAUCAAAAUCAACAAAUGCAACUACUGUAUCACAAUCAAGACAACCUACAUCAACAACUGGAACAACUGAAAGAAAUACUUUAUCAGAAAUUUGGAAACGGGUUAUCAUUGUUCUUGUGGGCAUUCUGGUACUAAUACUUGCUAUAGUCAUCAACACAUGGAAUAAACCUAACGGAAGCAAAACACAGGUGGAAGAAGUGACUAAGGUGGCGAGUGAACGCAGCUGCCAAAAAAAUGCUGAUGCUGAAGAUGUCUCCUAUGUCUCUGUCAGUUUUAUCAGGAGGUCCAAGUGUAAAGCCAAGGUCUGUAAUGAUAAUGAUGAAGAUGACACUGUGACUUACAGCACUGUGAAAUUUCCUUCCUCUUCUGCUGGCGUUUCCACUGAUCCCAGCAACCUCUAUUCCACCAUCAACAAACAAAAGAAACACGUUCCAGCCUGAAGGUUA
Long non-coding RNA from Haplochromis burtoni (Burton's mouthbrooder), 649 nucleotides. RefSeq lists it as uncharacterized. The record is from RefSeq and is a predicted model, not a curated record. Lineage: Eukaryota; Metazoa; Chordata; Actinopteri; Cichliformes; Cichlidae. The transcript is spliced from 7 exons.